RNAcentral lists this ribosomal RNA (253 nucleotides) under uncultured bacterium. RNAcentral describes it as "partial 16S ribosomal RNA". It matches the Rfam family "Bacterial small subunit ribosomal RNA", at positions 524 to 776 of the family's 1533-position model. The record is from RNAcentral.
AACGUAGGGGGCGAGCGUUGCCCGGAUUCACUGGGCGUAAAGCGGGUCUAGGCGGUCCGUUAAGUCGGGUGUGAAAUCUCGGGGCUUAACUCCGAAACUGCAUUCGAUACUGCCGUGCUUGAGGACUGGAGAGGAGACUGGAAUUUACGGUGUAGCGGUGAAAUGCGUAGAUAUCGUAAGGAAGACCAGUGGCGAAGGCGGGUCUCUGGACAGUUCCUGACGCUGAGGCACGAAGGCCAGGGGAGCAAACGGG